CCCUUAGAUACCCUGGGCUGCACGCGCGCUACACUGAUGCGCUCAACGAGUUUUCCUUGCCCGAGAGGGUUGGGUAAUCUUCUGGAAAGCGCAUCGUGAUGGGGAUAGGCGCUUGUAAUUAUUCGCCUUGAACGAGGAAUUCCUAGUAAACGCGAGUCAUCAGCUCGCGUUGAUUACGUCCCUGCCCUUUGUACACACCGCCCGUCGCUCCUACCGAUUGAGCGGUCCGGUGAAUAGUCCGGACCGUACAGUGCACUUCUCGUGCACCGUAUGGAAAGUUCAGUAAACCUUAUCGCUUAGAGGAAGGAGAANUCGUAACA
This 320-nucleotide ribosomal RNA is filed under the name uncultured eukaryote. Its description in RNAcentral is "partial 18S ribosomal RNA". It matches the Rfam family "Eukaryotic small subunit ribosomal RNA", at positions 1470 to 1796 of the family's 1831-position model. The record is from RNAcentral.